This is a non-coding RNA of Paramuricea clavata, 644 nucleotides long. Lineage: Eukaryota; Metazoa; Cnidaria; Anthozoa; Malacalcyonacea; Plexauridae. The record is from the annotation of a GenBank genome assembly.
GACGAUGUGAACUUUUACUGUAUACAAACAAUUAAGUAUACAAAAAUAUUUUUGUCUCUUGGUAUUGGUAGCAAGUAUACUUAGGUAGUUAAUACUAGUUAGUAUAUUAGUAUAUACUUAGGUAGUUAACUAUAGUCUGUGUGGUUAUUCCUCGCCCACAGUAAAAGCUUUAACUAGCUUAGGGCAGCUAAACUUGCAGCUUCUGUACAUAUAAAGUGAGUGAGAAUUAGCAUCACAGUAACCCAGCACUUUCCAUUUGUUGCAGCGGGAAUCAAUGUCGAAUACUUUUUUCUCUAAACAAUAAAAGCACGAUUUCAAAUUAGAUUGCUGGCCAAGGAGCUUCAGUGGGGCAGUCAUCAGAGCAUGCGCCUUUCACCUCUGAGAACGUGGGUUUGAUUCUCGCUACGGACUCAUGUGAGUCAGCCGGGUGCUCCGGUUUCCUUCCACAGGGAAAGUUGACAGGGUGGGUUAGGAUAAACACAGUUAAGAAAGUAAUAUCUCAAUUGACCACUUGCGUAAUAGACUAAAUUUUGAUCUCAACAAAAAUUUCAUCACAGCUUGAAAGAGCAUCACAAAAUUAGUAAUAUUCCAAAGUUUCGUUGCGAAAUGUUGUAAAAUGCGGAAAAUAUAGCCUUGCGAAGUUU